This is a long non-coding RNA of Herpailurus yagouaroundi (jaguarundi), 4386 nucleotides long. RefSeq lists it as uncharacterized. The record is from RefSeq and is a predicted model, not a curated record. The transcript has 5 exons. Lineage: Eukaryota; Metazoa; Chordata; Mammalia; Carnivora; Felidae.
AGCCAGAAACUCAGAUACUGUCCACCUGGGAAUCUGGGGUGUCUGCUUCGGUUUCCCUCUGCUCUCCUGGGGGUGCCUGGCGGCUCCUGUUGCUGAGAUCUGCUCCCCGGACUCCUCAGAGGCCUGGGGAGAGCGUGCGUCCAUCUGUCCCCAGGGACAGCCCUGCCUGUCCUGCCAAUGGCACCAAGACCGGGGCGGCAGGCCUCCUUCCCACACCGGGAGGGAGAGAGGACCACAUCCGGGCCCCUCCUGGGUGGCGGGCGUCCCGGUCUGCCCUUUCACCGCCAGCCCGGGCACCCCCUGCCGGGCCAGGCACCCCCACUGGUUCCAGGGCGUGGGCACCGACCCCAAGGCCUUCCCCACCCACUCCAUUGUAGGGCUGCAAUAGCACGUGUGCAAGUAUUUGUGGCCAGAUGCCUCCCGUCAGCCCUCCCGGGAGGCCUCCACCAUGAGUCACUGGCUCUGGUCUGGGGUCAGGCAGCAGCGGCCUCGCCCGUUCAGACUUUGGAGGCUUCACCCUGGAGAAGCGGGGCACCGACCCAGCUAGCAGCCUAGAGGGGCUUGGGGGGAAGGGCAAUCGGUCCUGCUCCUGGGCCCUGCCCCUGCUCUGAGUCGCCCGGACUGUGACCCUCAGCGUGGCGGACGAGCUCACGGGCUCUCCAUCCUCGGUUCCUGCCCGCCGUAGAUGAGUCAUGGUGACAGCGGAUGGUCCCACCAGGCCUCAUGAUGUGUGGUUCUGUCCUGAGUGGCUCAGCUGUCAGGUUCCAUGCCCGGGGUGGCCAGUCCCGUGGCCAGGAAGAGCCAGGGCGGCUGCUGUCCUUUACCAAGGCAGACCUUCGUGAUGUAGAGCUACCCACAGGUCACAGGGCAAGUGGUGGGAGGGCAGCAGGGAGAGGAAAGGACUCUUAGGGUCUGAGGUGCUUGAUGGGGCCAGGACAGCCCCCCCCCAUCAUACGUGAGCCCCCAGGAGUGGGGGGAAGAGCCGCCCAGGUUCUUGUCCUGGCCCUGCCCCAACCGAGCUUGCCCUGGGCCAGCCACCAUCCCCUGGCCUCGGUGUCUUGAUCUGGUCCCGAGACACCAGCUUGGGCCAGUUAGGUGAGCUCAUAAUCAGGACAGGGGACUUGUUCCUCCUGCUCACCUGGCCUCGUGGGCUGAACCGUGGCCCCAGGAGAGAUGUCCACCCAGCCCUGUGAAUGUGACCUUCGUGCGACAAGAGCCUUGGCGGGCGUGAUUAGGGUCAAGAUGAGACCAUCCUGGCCGGUGGGGAGGGGACAUAACCCAGCGACAGAAAAAAGCACACACAGACUCACCGGGAAAAGGCGGAGGUCGGAGGGAUGUGUGGGAGCACCGAGGGCUGUCAGCAAGGCCCCGAGGCUGGGAGAGGACCCCCUCCCCGGAACCCUCAGAAGGAACCGGCCCUGCCCACGCAUGAUUUUAGCCUUCCAGUGUGUUGAUCUGUUACAGCUGCCCCAGAAACAGGUACAAGCACAGAGCCCGACACGGGGCUCAAACUCACAAAACCACGAGAUCAUGACCUGAGUUGAAACCAAGAGUUGGACGCUUAACCGACUGAGCCGCCCAGAUUCUUGGAUUUUCAGAGGAGAGCAGACUGUGACCAGUGCUCCUUGUAAGCAAGGACAAGGCCGCGGGGACCACGUGAUAAGGAAGACUCGUGUCCUUGUGCUCGGGACCCAACCCCGCAGUCUGUGUCACGGACAGCGCACGGGGUCUGGCCUCCAGGCAGCCGCGGCAUGGCCGGGGGGACAAGAUCUCCCACCUGGGGCCGAGGGCGGCACAGGACAGCAUGCGCUGGAAAAAGUGGUGGCCCUGAGGCCAGUGGAUGAGCUCUGGGUGAACAUGGGUCCUUCCUGGUCUGGUGCUUGGAGGAGGAAGCUUUCUGAGCAGGGCGGCCAGCAUGGCAUGUGGGGCUCCCCGGAGGUCAACAGGGGCCAGCCCCGCCCCCCCACAGCCCCUGGCAAGACGGCUGUGGAUGAGAGCCACCAUGGGACCCUGACUGCCCUGGAAGAGGCCAGCCUGCCGGGAUGUUCUGUUCUUCCUUAAAGACACACGCACGUGAACACGCUUCCACACCCACACGUGCACGCACAAAUGUAGGGCACUUGGCGGGAUUUGAGCGCUUCUAGCACAGCACGAGAACCCGCUCCUCUCUUCCUGCCCCCCCCCCCCGACCCCGUGCAGUCAGAACCACAGCCCUCUGGCCUGGACUUGAUGGCCACGGAAGAACAGAAUAUCCAGGGGCCACGAGUAGCCACCCGGGAGGGUGACAGUGAGACAGCAGUGGGGGGUCCGGGUGGAAGGACGCGUCAGGAGCUGAGGACAAACGAUGCCAGGGCCUACCUCCCGGCCACGUUUGCCCUCAACCGGCACCCGGGCCGGGAAGUGCAGUCCCGACGCUUUGGACCGGCCACUGGCAAACAACCCCAGGGCGCGGCAGGAAGCAGCCCUGACCCUCACCCUCCUGCUUGCUCCCCUUGGGUCUCCAGCCUCCAGGGGACCCCUCUCGAGGGUCUGCUGACAUCCUGCCAUCCCAGUCUGCCGGACUCCUCUCCACCUGUCUGGAAGACAGCGCUGCUUCCUGACAGGUGUUCCUCUGCCUUCCACAUCCUGGAAGCUUCCCCAGGGCUGAAAAUGCCUGGUGAGUGGCAGGCCAGCCUCAGGUGGACUAUGUGGGGCCUUUACGGUCCAGAGGUUUCCAGCUGGUGUCCCGCUCAGUCUUCCGAUGGCCAGUCGCCCGUAUCCACCUUGGAGCUGAGUUGGGCUGGGAGAUAGCAGAGUGGGAAGCCCAGAGAACGUUCUAGGCGGGCCUGCCAGGGACAGGGAGUGAGCGCCUCUGUCUGGGAGGCCCGUGGGAGGCUAUUGGUCCAACGGCACUGCCAGAGGACGUGUGUGAAUCCCAACUCCCGAGGCAGACGGCUUCGGAGGUGUGGGCCACCGCCUGCCUCUGACGUGGCUCAUUCUGUUCGCCUCUGCUUCCUGGCCCGCUGCGGGUGGAGUCCCCUGCCAGGAACGAUGGUGCCACCUGGCUCCGUCCUCGACGCUCUGACGUCUGCACUCCGCCAUUUGGGCCAAGAUGGAAACCAAGCGGAAUGUUCCUGACGUGGGAUCUCCUCGUCCCACGGUCCCGUGGCACCUGGGCCACGUCGAGUGGGAAGGAGAGCCGUCCCUCCCCGGGUCAUCCUUCCCCUCUGGGAGCAUCGUCCACUGUUAGUUUUGGGGGAAAGUGGAGUCUGCAGAGCUCUCUGGCCCCUUACGACAGACAGGCAGGAGUGUUGAGACGAGGGCUCAGGUGGUCUGAGUCCUAGCGGGGGCUGAGGACCACACACGGAUCCCCCACCACCUCCACGUGGCUCACACCCACCCCAGCCAUCUCCCACCAAAGCACUUCCGGCACCCCGCCCCCCCGCCCCCCACCGGCUCUAUGGCUGGGACCACGGGCCGCCCCCUGCCCCCAGGACCCAGCUGGGAAGUUGGAAAAGUCUGGCCCCACACCAACCGAAACAUGACCCCAGAAGCCCAGGCUCGGCCCCACUGAUUCAUCGGCGGAGCAAACUUCCUGCCCCCACCUGCCCCCACGCGGCUCACGCUCCCGUCAGCCAGAGCUCGGGGAAGAGGGUGAGGCCCUCCUGCUUGCACAGCGUCCCGGCUCCGACCCCACGAGGCUGGACAUCUGCUAGGCUGAUGACGGACGUGACCACAGGCAGACAGUGGGCAUCAGGGCCACAGAAGCCCAGGAUCCGGCGGAAGAGGCCCUAAGAUCAGCGGGCCACAGGGCGCCGUGUGGGGCGGCAGGGAUAGGACGCAGCGUCAGCUUUUCAAGUCCUGUGUGGAUCUUCCUGCACAUUAGCAAAAAGCGUAGAGCAUCAAAACCUCGACGGAAGGAUGUCAUCUCUUGUGGCCGAGACUGGUGAGGAGGGCCGUUAGCCCCGGGCUGGCUGAACAGAAAGCGCCAGGCGCGUCAUGGACCGGCCUGGCUGAAAUUCUGCCGUGGCCGGUGGGUGACGGAGGCGUGGGGUGCAUCGAUCUAGCCCAGGGCUCUGCGAACUGUUUCUGGAAAGGGCCAGAGAGUAAAUAUUUAGGCUCUGUGGCCGGCGGUCUCUGCUGCAUCCUCUCUUUUGCAAAAGUCACAGGAGACACGACAUGGACAAGUGGGCGUGGCCGUGCCACAAUGAAACUUUAUUUAUGGACCUGAAAUUUGACUUUGGUGCAACCUCCACAGGUCGUCUUCCCCUCCCCCCACCCCAGGCACUUACGAAUAUUAAAACCGGGCACCCGCAUGGCUCGGUCGGUUGAGCAUCUGACUUUGGCUCAGCUCACAAUCUCACGGUUGGUGGGUCGGAGCCCCGUGUCGGGCUCUGUGCUGACAGC